RNAcentral lists this ribosomal RNA (233 nucleotides) under uncultured bacterium. RNAcentral's name for it is "partial 16S ribosomal RNA". It matches the Rfam family "Bacterial small subunit ribosomal RNA", at positions 524 to 754 of the family's 1533-position model. The record is from RNAcentral.
UACGUAGGGUGCAAGCGUUGUCCGGAAUUAUUGGGCGUAAAGAGCUCGUAGGCGGUUUGUUGCGUCGGCUGUGAAAUCCCGAGGCUCAACCUCGGGUCUGCAGUCGAUACGAGCAAACUAGAGUGUUGCAGGGGAGACUGGAAUUCCUGGUGUAGCGGUGAAAUGCGCAGAUAUCAGGAGGAACACCGGUGGCGAAGGCGGGGUCUCUGGGCAACAACUGACGCUGGAGGAGC